This 461-nucleotide ribosomal RNA is filed under the name uncultured bacterium. RNAcentral's name for it is "bacterial SSU rRNA". It matches the Rfam family "Bacterial small subunit ribosomal RNA", at positions 28 to 478 of the family's 1533-position model. The record is from RNAcentral.
GAUGAACGCUGGCGGCAUGCCUAAGACAUGCAAGUCGAACGAGACGACCUUUGGAUAGCCUUGUGCUUGCACAAAGUUAGAAGAAGAUCAUCGUCUAGUGGCAGACGGGUGAGUAACACGUGGGUAACCUACCUUCAAGCUGGGGAUAACGUUUGGAAACGAACGCUAAUACCGAAUAAGAUAUAGCAAUAUAUUGAAAGAAGCCUUUAAAGCUUCACUUAAAGAUGGGCCUGCGGCGUAUUAACUAGUUGGUGAGGUAAUGGCUCACCAAGGUGACGAUCAGUAGCCGACCUGAGAGGGUGACCGGCCACAUUGGGACUGAGACACGGCCCAAACUCCUACGGGAGGCAGCAGUGGGGAAUAUUGCACAAUGGCGAAAGCCUGAUGCAGCGACGCCGCGUGAGGGAAGAAGGUCUUCGGAUUGUAAACCUUGUUGACAGGGAAGAAGAAAGUGACGGUAC